This 105-nucleotide small nuclear RNA is filed under the name Erinaceus europaeus (western European hedgehog). RNAcentral's name for it is "U2 spliceosomal RNA". It matches the Rfam family "U2 spliceosomal RNA". From Rfam's summary of the family: U2 is a small nuclear RNA (snRNA) component of the spliceosome (involved in pre-mRNA splicing). Complementary binding between U2 snRNA (in an area lying towards the 5' end but 3' to hairpin I) and the branchpoint sequence (BPS) of the intron results the bulging out of an unpaired adenosine, on the BPS, which initiates a nucleophilic attack at the intronic 5' splice site, thus starting the first of two transesterification reactions that mediate splicing. The record is from Rfam by way of RNAcentral. Lineage: Eukaryota; Metazoa; Chordata; Mammalia; Eulipotyphla; Erinaceidae.
AUUGCUUCUCGUCCUUUUGGCUAAGAUCAAGUGUAGUAUCUGUUCUUAUCAGUUUAAACUAAAUUCAUCAUAAUUUGAAAAUAAAUAAAAAUUCUCCCAACAUAA